CACCUCCAGCAUCCCUAGUAUUGGAGGCAUUGCCUGCCCAGUGACAACUGUUUAACGGCCGCGGUAUCCUGACCGUGCAAAGGUAGCAUAAUCAUUUGUUCUCUAAAUAAGGACUUGUAUGAAUGGCCACACGAGGGUUUUACUGUCUCUUACUUCCAAUCAGUGAAAUUGACCUUCCCGUGAAGAGGCGGGAAUGCAUAAAUAAGACGAGAAGACCCUAUGGAGCUUUAACUAACCAACCCAAAGAAAAUAAAUUUAACCAUUGAGGAACAACAACAAUCUCCAUGAGUUGGUAGUUUCGGUUGGGGUGACCUCGGAGAAUAAAAAAUCCUCCGAACGAUUUUAAAGACUAGACCCACAAGUCAAAUCACUCUAUCGCUCAUUGAUCCAAAAAUUUGAUCAACGGAACAAGUUACCCUAGGGAUAACAGCGCAAUCCUAUUUAAGAGUCCAUAUCGACAAUAGGGUUUACGACCUCGAUGUUGGAUCAGGACAUCCUGAUGGUGCAACCGCUAUCAAAGGUUCGUUUGUUCAACGAUUAAAGUCCU
RNAcentral lists this ribosomal RNA (547 nucleotides) under Bos grunniens (domestic yak). Its description in RNAcentral is "partial large subunit ribosomal RNA". It matches the Rfam family "Bacterial large subunit ribosomal RNA", at positions 1817 to 2597 of the family's 2925-position model. The record is from RNAcentral. Lineage: Eukaryota; Metazoa; Chordata; Mammalia; Artiodactyla; Bovidae.